RNAcentral lists this microRNA (21 nucleotides) under Ananas comosus (pineapple). Its description in RNAcentral is "microRNA s0104_c050". The record is from RNAcentral. Lineage: Eukaryota; Viridiplantae; Streptophyta; Magnoliopsida; Poales; Bromeliaceae.
AGAUCCGAAAGGUGUUCUUCC